RNAcentral lists this ribosomal RNA (253 nucleotides) under uncultured bacterium. Its description in RNAcentral is "partial 16S ribosomal RNA". It matches the Rfam family "Bacterial small subunit ribosomal RNA", at positions 526 to 779 of the family's 1533-position model. The record is from RNAcentral.
CGUAUGGUGCAAGCGUUAUCCGGAUUUACUGGGUGUAAAGGGAGCGUAGACGGAGUGGCAAGUCUGAUGUGAAACCCGGGGCUCAACCCCGGGACUGCAUUGGAAACUGUCAAUCUAGAGUACCGGAGAGGUAAGCGGAAUUCCUAGUGUAGCGGUGAAAUGCGUAGAUAUUAGGAGGAACACCAGUGGCGAAGGCGGCUUACUGGACGGUAACUGACGUUGAGGCUCGAAAGCGUGGGGAGCAAACAGGAUU